Molecule: unclassified non-coding RNA, 378 nt
Filed under: plant metagenome
Description: partial contains 5.8S ribosomal RNA, internal transcribed spacer 2, and large subunit ribosomal RNA
Rfam family: 5.8S ribosomal RNA (bases 1-105)
Source: RNAcentral
GAAAUGCGAUAAGUAAUGUGAAUUGCAGAAUUCAGUGAAUCAUCGAAUCUUUGAACGCACCUUGCGCUCCUUGGUAUGCCUUGGAGCAUGCCUGUUUGAGUAUCAUGAAAUCUUCAAAGUAAAUCUUUUGUUAACUCAAUUGGUUUCUACUUUGGUAUUGGAGUUCUUUGCAGCUUCACACCUGCUCCUCUUUGUUCAUUAGCUGGAUCUCAGUGUUAUGCUUGGUUCCACUCGGCGUGAUAAGUUAUCUAUCGCUGAGGACACUGUAAAAGGUGGCCAAGGUAAAUGCAGAUGAACCGCUUCUAAUAGUGCAUUGACUUGGACAAUACUUUUAUGAUCUGAUCUCAAAUCAGGUAGGACUACCCGCUGAACUUAAGC